This 603-nucleotide ribosomal RNA is filed under the name Clarireedia homoeocarpa. Its description in RNAcentral is "SSU rRNA". It matches the Rfam family "Eukaryotic small subunit ribosomal RNA", at positions 555 to 1162 of the family's 1831-position model. The record is from RNAcentral. Lineage: Eukaryota; Fungi; Ascomycota; Leotiomycetes; Helotiales; Rutstroemiaceae.
GCAAGUCUGGUGCCAGCAGCCGCGGUGAUUCCAGCUCCAAUAGCGUAUAUUAAAGUUGUUGCAGUUAAAAAGCUCGUAGUUGAACCUUGGGCCUGGCUGACCGGUCCGCCUCACCGCGUGCACUGGUGCGGCCGGGCCUUUCCUUCUGGGGAGCCGCAUGCCCUUCACUGGGUGUGUCGGGGAACCAGGACUUUUACCUUGAAAAAAUUAGAGUGUUCAAAGCAGGCCUAUGCUCGAAUACAUUGGCAUGGAAUAAUAGAAUAGGACGUGUGGUUCUAUUUUGUUGGUUUCUAGGACCGCCGUAAUGAUUAAUAGGGAUAGUCGGGGGCAUCAGUAUUCAAUUGUCAGAGGUGAAAUUCUUGGAUUUAUUGAAGACUAACUACUGCGAAAGCAUUUGCCAAGGAUGUUUUCAUUAAUCAGUGAACGAAAGUUAGGGGAUCGAAGACGAUCAGAUACCGUCGUAGUCUUAACCAUAAACUAUGCCGACUAGGGAUCGGGCGAUGUUAUCUUUUUGACUCGCUCGGCACCUCACGAGAAAUCAAAGUUUUUGGGUCCUGGGGGGAGUAUGGUCGCAAGGCUGAAACUUAAAGGAAUUGACGGAAG